RNAcentral lists this ribosomal RNA (409 nucleotides) under uncultured bacterium. RNAcentral describes it as "bacterial SSU rRNA". It matches the Rfam family "Bacterial small subunit ribosomal RNA", at positions 355 to 776 of the family's 1533-position model. The record is from RNAcentral.
UGGGGAAUAUUGCACAAUGGGCGCAAGCCUGAUGCAGCGACGCCGCGUGAGGGAUGACGGCCUUCGGGUUGUAAACCUCUUUCACCAGGGACGAAGCUUUUGUGACGGUACCUGGAGAAGAAGCACCGGCCAACUACGUGCCAGCAGCCGCGGUAAUACGUAGGGUGCGAGCGUUGUCCGGAAUUACUGGGCGUAAAGAGCUCGUAGGCGGUUUGUCGCGUCGUCUGUGAAAUUCUGCAGCUUAACUGCAGGCGUGCAGGCGAUACGGGCAGACUUGAGUACUACAGGGGAGACUGGAAUUCCUGGUGUAGCGGUGAAAUGCGCAGAUAUCAGGAGGAACACCGGUGGCGAAGGCGGGUCUCUGGGUAGUAACUGACGCUGAGGAGCGAAAGCGUGGGUAGCGAACAGG